Non-coding RNA from Caenorhabditis elegans, 259 nucleotides. Lineage: Eukaryota; Metazoa; Nematoda; Chromadorea; Rhabditida; Rhabditidae. The record is from Ensembl.
AUUUCCGAACAGAAACCGUCAUGAGAUGCCAAAAUGAAAUUCUCACAGACGAGCCGCUGUGUCGUCGUUUUCUGUGUCGUUAUUUGGAUGGCAGUCAUCGGGCGCGGCCUCCGCUUCGUUUUCCUCUUCUUCUUCUCCGUUGAGCAAGACAAAAAGAGUGGUGUUGGUGGUGUGUUUGAAGCCAACUGCGGCGGUGGCCAUAGUUCUGGAGCAAGAAGAAGAAGAAAAAGGCGAAAAAAACCAGAGGGAAGAAUGGGAG